This 795-nucleotide ribosomal RNA is filed under the name uncultured bacterium. RNAcentral's name for it is "bacterial SSU rRNA". It matches the Rfam family "Bacterial small subunit ribosomal RNA", at positions 8 to 796 of the family's 1533-position model. The record is from RNAcentral.
AGAGUUUGAUCCUGGCUCAGAACGAACGCUGGCGGCGUGCCUAACACAUGCAAGUCGAACGGGGUUUGCAGUUCAUCGCAAACUUAGUGGCGAACGGGUGAGUAACACGUAGGUAACCUACCUCAGGGCGGGGGACAACCCCGAGAAAUCGAGGCUAAUACCGCAUAAGACCACGGGCUGGAAUGCCUGCGGCAAAAGCAGCAAUGCACCCUGAGAUGGGCCUGCGGCCUAUCAGGUAGUUGGUAGGGUAACGGCCUACCAAGCCUAAGACGGGUAGCCGGUCUGAGAGGAUGGACGGCCACACUGGCACUGGAACACGGGCCAGACUCCUACGGGAGGCAGCAGUGAGGAAUAUUGCGCAAUGGGGGCAACCCUGACGCAGCGACGCCGCGUGAGUGAGGAAGGCCUUCGGGUCGUAAAGCUCUGUCAAAGGGAAAGAAGUGCAUGUUGGUUAAUACCCAUCAUGUUUGACGGUACCCUUAAAGGAAGCACCGGCUAACUCCGUGCCAGCAGCCGCGGUAAUACGGAGGGUGCAAGCGUUGUUCGGAAUCACUGGGCGUAAAGGGCGCGUAGGCGGUUUGAUAAGUCAGAUGUGAAAGCCCACGGCUUAACCGUGGAAGUGCAUUUGAUACUGUUAGACUUGAGUACCAGAGGGGAAAGUGGAAUUCCCGGUGUAGAGGUGAAAUUCGUAGAUAUCGGGAGGAAUACCGGUGGCGAAGGCGACUUUCUGGCUGGAUACUGACGCUGAGGCGCGAAAGCGUGGGGAGCAAACAGGAUUAGAUACCCUGGUAGUCC